CCUACGGGUGGCAGCAGUGGGGAAUAUUGGACAAUGGGCGAAAGCCUGAUCCAGCCAUGCCGCGUGUGUGAAGAAGGCCUUCGGGUUGUAAAGCACUUUCAGUGGGGAAGAAAGCCUUGGGGCUAAUACCCUCGAGGAAGGACAUCACCCACAGAAGAAGCACCGGCUAACUCCGUGCCAGCAGCCGCGGUAAUACGGAGGGUGCGAGCGUUAAUCGGAAUUACUGGGCGUAAAGCGCGCGUAGGCGGUCUGAUAAGCCGGUUGUGAAAGCCCCGGGCUCAACCUGGGAACGGCAUCCGGAACUGUCAGGCUAGAGUGCAGGAGAGGAAGGUAGAAUUCCCGGUGUAGCGGUGAAAUGCGUAGAGAUCGGGAGGAAUACCAGCGGCGAAGGCGGCCUUCUGGACUGACACUGACGCUGAGGUGCGAAAGCGUGGGUAGCAAACAGGAUUAGAUACCCUUGUAGUC
Molecule: ribosomal RNA, 465 nt
Filed under: Vreelandella stevensii
Lineage: Bacteria; Pseudomonadati; Pseudomonadota; Gammaproteobacteria; Oceanospirillales; Halomonadaceae
Description: partial 16S ribosomal RNA
Rfam family: Bacterial small subunit ribosomal RNA
Source: RNAcentral